UACAGAGGGUGCGAGCGUUGUCCGGAAUCACUGGGCGUAAAGCGCGUGUAGGUGGUGGGACAAGUCUGCUGUGAAAGCGCCUGGCUUAACCGGGCGAGGUCGGCGGAAACUGUCGCACUCGAGGACGGUAGAGGGGGGUGGAAUUCCCGGUGUAGUGGUGAAAUGCGUAGAGAUCGGGAGGAACACCCGCGGCGAAGGCGGCCACCUGGACCAGACCUGACGCUGAGGCGCGAAGGCCGGGGGAGCGAACGGGG
This 254-nucleotide ribosomal RNA is filed under the name uncultured bacterium. Its description in RNAcentral is "partial 16S ribosomal RNA". It matches the Rfam family "Bacterial small subunit ribosomal RNA", at positions 524 to 777 of the family's 1533-position model. The record is from RNAcentral.